UGUGAAGGAAAGGUGAAAAGAACCCCGGGAGGGGAGUGAAAAAGAACCUGAAACCCUGUGCUUACAAGCAGAGAGAGCACAAUUAAGUGUGAUCUCGUACUUUUUGUAGAACGGACCGGCGAGUUACGUUAUGCAGCGAGGUUAAGAACUGAAGGUUUGGAGCCGAAGCGAAAGCGAGUCUGAAUAGGGCGAAAAGUUGCAUGACGUAGACCCGAAACCGGGUGACCUAUCCAUGGGCAGGUUGAAGUGGAAGUAAAAUUUCAUGGAGGACCGAACCAGACGUCUGUUGAAAAAGGCGGGGAUGACCUGUGGAUAGCGGAGAAAUUCCAAUCGAACCCGGAGAUAGCUGGUUCUCCUCGAAAUAGCUUUAGGGCUAGCCUCGCAUUAGUUUACCGGAGGUAGAGCACUGAAUGGUCUAGGGGGCCUCACCGCCUACCGAAACCUAUCAAACUGCGAAUGCCGGAUAAAUGAUGUGCGGGAGUCAGGCCGCGAGAGAUAAGUUCCGCGGGCAAAAGGGGAACACCCCAGAUCGUCUGCUAAGGUCCCCAAGUACGCGUUAAGUGGGAAAGGAUGUUGGAUUGCACAGACAACCAGGAUGUUGGCUUAGAAGCAGCCACACAUUCAAAGAGUGCGUAAUAGCUCACUGGUCGAGUGAUCCAGCGCCGAAAAUGUAACGGGGCUAAAACGCGACACCGAAGCAGCGGGAUGCGUAAGCAUCGGUAGAGGAGCAUUGUGUGAGGGUUGAAGCCAGAGCGGGAGCACUGGUGGACUUCACAGAAGAGAGAAUGCCGGUAUGAGUAGCGAGACCCAUGCGAGAAACAUGGGCGUCGAAGGCCCAAGGUUUCCUGGGGAAGGUUCAUCCACCCAGGGUAAGUCGGGACCUAAGCCGAGGACUGAGGUCGUAGGCGAUGGACAGCAGGUAGAGAUUCCUGCACCACUUACACUUGUUUGACGAAGCAGUGACACAGAAGGAUAGGACGAGCGCGGUGAUGGUCAACCGCGUAGGCGGCACGAGGCUGGGGAGCAGUAAAGUACACUUCCCGGGAAGGCUGAGUGCUGACAGGACCGAAAAAGAGUAGGGAAGCGUCUGAGUUCACGCUGGCGAGAAAAGCUGCUAAGGAGAGUGUGAGUGCCCGUACCGGAAACCGACGCAGGUGGGCGAGGAGAGAAUCCUGAGACGGACGGGAGAACUCUUGUUAAGGAACUCGGCAAAAUGACCCCGUAACUUCGGGAGAAGGGGUGCCUCGAAAGAGGCCGCAGAGAAUAGUCACAAGCGACUGUUUAGCAAAAACACAGGUAUCUGCGAAAGCGAGAGCUGACGUAUAGGUGCUGACACCUGCCCGGUGCUGGAAGGUUAAGGGAACAUGUUAGAGCAAUCGAAGCAUCGAACCGAAGCCCCAGUAAACGGCGGCCGUAACUAUAACGGUCCUAAGGUAGCGAAAUUCCUUGUCGGGUAAGUUCCGACCCGCACGAAUGGCGUAACGACUUGUGAGCUGUCUCAACAGGGGGCCCGGUGAAAUUGAAGUAUGUGUGAAGAUGCACAUUACCCGCGACUGGACGGAAAGACCCCGUAGAGCUUUACUGUAACCUGACAUUGGAUCUUGAUAACGGAUGCACAGGAUAGGUGGGACGCUGGGAGGUAUGGACUUUGGUCUGUACGGAGCGGACGUUGGGAUACCACUCUUCUGUUAUUGAG
Molecule: ribosomal RNA, 1696 nt
Filed under: human gut metagenome
Description: bacterial LSU rRNA
Rfam family: Bacterial large subunit ribosomal RNA
Source: RNAcentral